CUUUUGGUCAGGCUUACUGGAGGUUGUUUUUUUGGGGUUUUUUUUGAAGGGAAUGACACUCAGAGGAUUUUAAUUUUUAACCCUAACCUUAAAUAUUAUCAGACUCAAUAAAGACUUCCAAACGGGGAUUGCAGACUUGGAAUAGGGCUCAUAGACCUGCAGCUGAGCAGCCUUCACCUUUGUUGAUGGGAACAACUGUGGUUUGUUUCCACUCCUGAAUGAACUCUGAAAAGUCGGCCCAAGCUCAGCGUGAUGGAAGCACUGAUGAAGGUCUAGGGUAAAUACUGUUGCUCCCCAGGCAAAGCCAAUCCUUUACUCCUUAUGCAGAAGGUGAUGACUUUCCAAGGGACUGGUCCUACCCUACCGUAUGAGCUAUUGCAGGAUCUGAAAACCAAGGAAAGAAGGAGGAUUCUGUCUGAAACCCUGAGGAGAUGGAGCUGCUUCCAUGCAAGCCUGGGUGAGGAGCCUCUAAGAGAGGUGAGAUUGCAGAUGUGUCCCUGUGUGCAGCAUCUUCUACAAGCUUGUCCUAACAUGACUUUCUGCUCUGUGUGUAUUUUUUCAGGGGGUCUAUUUUCCAUUCCCUCUCUGGAGUGCCCUGAUCUCUCUCUGUCUGUUGGAGGCAAAGCAGCUUCUGGAAUCACUCACUAUAGUACAAACGUCUCAAACCAAAAUACAGUGUCACCCAAUUGUGAGAGCUUAAAUUAUUUAUGGACCUAGCCUUUGGAGUCAGAGUCUCAAACUCCUUUAAUUACCGUUGGGGAUUUGUGCACAGGAUACCAUAGCGAUGAGAAUAAUAUUUGGAAUUUAACUCUUGUCUACUGUGCUUUGGCAGCUGGAAUGAGCAAGCAGCUGAUUAUGACCAUAUCAGAAAUCAUGCCAAAAACUUACAUACGGACGGUUUGGAGUGUUGGCUUUUUAAUCAGACAUAUAAAACUCUUGUUAUCUUUCUUAAGCCCUGCUGGAAACAAAAUUUGGAAGGAAAGCUCCUGUUCAAUAUUCAGUGUCCCCGUGCAAUCUGAAUCUUUACCUAUAAAGCUGCCUUUUGGAAAAAAUCCUCACCAAAGGAGAAAAUGUAAAUUAUUUUAUUGACACUGCUAUCUGGGGCAUUAACAUACAUCCAACAAGAAACAAAAACUGAAAAUGCAAAUUAUUCCCACUAUAGAUCCAUAUCAACGUUGCUGGAAUUAGGCUGAAUCUGGCAUUGUUUGAUUCAGACUUUAUAAAAUAAGAGCUCUGGGGACAACUUAAAAGUGUAGGGUGAUUUGUUUCUCAAAGGAAACCAUCCAGAUUCUUUAGCAGACCAUGGCAAUUAGCACGCUGCUGUUAUGGCAGCAGUGACGAUAUCUGGGGACAGUUGCUGUUUUUCAAACUCACCUCUAAGGACCCACCAAGGCACAGCCACACUCUCUUGCUGCAGACCACAGACUGCUGCUGCAAUUGUUCCAGAGGAGCGAGAGAUCUGGAGGUUCCUGAAGGCAGCUCAUAGCUGGCCUGCCCUUAAAAUACAAAGGGGCUAGAUUUCCCAAGGAGGGUGAAAAAUUUCCAAAGAUAAUGAAAGUGUUUAGAAGAAGUGGUCAAGCUUCCAGCUGAUGAAUAUUGAACUGGGCAGGAAGGGGGAUGGAAAAAGUGGCUUCUAGUCCCACAUUUGUCACUCUUUCAGUAUGACUUUGGCCAAGUUGCUUUUGCAUUUGCUGUUUCUUUUCCUUCCAAUAACCCUUCCCGUUAAUACAGCAAUACUGAAGGAGUGAUGGUUUCUUUACUGCAUUGAAGAUAUGCAAAUGGGUAGGUAUGUGCAGAGCUGUUUUCCUCCAUGUCAUUUUUUUGCUGGCUGGAUGAAAGACAUCUCAGGUACUGAUGGUAUUUCACAGAAUUAGUGCAUAACAACUCGAGCUAAUAUAUCCAACUCACAGGACUCUGUAGGAUGAUGUAAGACUUGGGAGCAGAGACAGUACACAUUCAGACAGAUCAUAGCACAAGUCUAUCAGCCCCAGCCACGUGGGAUUCAUCUGAGAAAAUAAACUGGUUGUCUAGUCUUUCUUUGGCACCACAGGGAAAUUGGCACAUUCAAGGCAUGAUUCAUCUUGCCCUAAAGCUGAUAUCUAAAAUAGGUCAGCUGAGCGUGCUGUAAAAGUGCCUGUUUCUCUUCACGGUUACAAAGGAUGGGAGGCUCAGUAAGACACAGAUGUCUCCAGCGUGGAUGUUUUGAAUUAGGCAAGACGAAUCCUGUCUAUGCAGUAUUUUUGAGAAAUGCCUUGUGUGAUGGAUACUCAGGUCUCAAAUUGGAAGUACAAGUCCAAUUAAAAAGUACAGUGUCCUCAAGAGCCCUCAGUUCGUGCUGAGCUCAAGCCGGACCCAAAGCCCUGACGUAUCUUUUCCUAAUAUUUAGUGGCUAUAAGCUGCCAGACACUUCAGUGUUUGGUUCUCUCCGUGACUUUUGUUUACUGGCUGAAUUAAAAGAUUUAAUGGAUAUUUUUAGAGAUUUCUCCCAUAACUUUAAAAUUACUUGGAUCAGGUAGCAUACACAGUUCCCCCUUCCUCCAUGAAGAACUAUACAACUUGUAACAAUGAAAAUACGAUUUUGUUCCAAAUUGCUAUUUCCAUCCUUUGAUUUUUUAUUUUUUUUUUUUUUCUUUUGUCUUGUAUCAAUUCAU
Molecule: long non-coding RNA, 2651 nt
Organism: Athene cunicularia (burrowing owl)
Lineage: Eukaryota; Metazoa; Chordata; Aves; Strigiformes; Strigidae
Exons: 4
Source: RefSeq, a predicted model, not a curated record